Molecule: ribosomal RNA, 460 nt
Filed under: uncultured bacterium
Lineage: Bacteria
Description: partial 16S ribosomal RNA
Rfam family: Bacterial small subunit ribosomal RNA
Source: RNAcentral
CCUACGGGAGGCAGCAGUGAGGAAUAUUGGUCAAUGGCCGUAAGGCUGAACCAGCCAAGUCGCGUGAAGGAAGAAGGAUCUAUGGUUUGUAAACUUCUUUUAUAGGGGAAUAAAGGUAUCCACGUGUGGAUAUUUUCAUGUACCCUAUGAAUAAGCAUCGGCUAACUCCGUGCCAGCAGCCGCGGUAAUACGGAGGAUGCGAGCGUUAUCCGGAUUUAUUGGGUUUAAAGGGUGCGUAGGUUGUUUUUUACGUCAGCGGUGAAAGUUUGUGGCUCAACCAUAAAAUUGCCGUUGAAACUGGAAGACUGGAGUGUGUUUGAGGUAGGCGAAAUGCGUGGUGGAGCGGUGAAAGUCAUAGAUAGCACGCAGAACUCCGAGUGCGAAGGCAGCUUACUAAGCCAUAACUGACACUGAAGCACGAAAGCGUGGGGAUCAAACAGGAGUAGAUACCCGUGUAGGC